This 505-nucleotide long non-coding RNA is filed under the name Homo sapiens (human). Its description in RNAcentral is "HSALNT0116650". The record is from RNAcentral. Lineage: Eukaryota; Metazoa; Chordata; Mammalia; Primates; Hominidae.
UUGUUGCCCCCAUCACAGUGGGCUUUGGGCCCCCGGGCCUGCCCCUUGGUUCUAAUGAUCAGGGAGGUCCUCCCUUAUGUGCCCACUGAACUUCCAGUCUCAGGCUGACUCACACAGGACACACUGUGAAAAGCUGGAGAGGAAAGGGCCCAAGUGACACAGUCACCCGAUGGCUCUCAGGGACCUGAGGGCCGGCAAAGGUAGAACAGGUGUCCACUAAGCCUGGAGCGUAGCCUCAAACCCACUGUGCCAACACACCCUGACUUCAGCCAUAGUCCCGUGCAUAUCCAAAGGUCUGAAGGAAACUUCGUGGGUCCCCAGUGAGGACGGAUGAGACCAGAAGUCCCAAUGAGCCCAGUGUGCCUUGUGUCCCUGGGGGAACCAGACCCGAUUGGACACGGACUGGAUUUUCAUGCGUAGGGGGCGGAGGAAAGGGAGGACAUUAAAUCUUUAAGUGGUUAAAGACACAAAACCCACAGGAAUGAUUUCUAAUGAACAGAAAAAG